GAUGAACGCUGGCGGCGUGCCUAAUACACGCAAGUCGAGCGAACGGACGAGAAGCUUGCUUCUCUGAUGUUAGCGGCGGACGGGUGAGUAACACGUGGAUAACCUACCUAUAAGACUGGGAUAACUUCGGGAAACCGGAGCUAAUACCGGAUAAUAUUUUGAACCGCAUGGUUCAAAAGUGAAAGACGGUCUUGCUGUCACUUAUAGAUGGAUCCGCGCUGCAUUAGCUAGUUGGUAAGGUAACGGCUUACCAAGGCAACGAUGCAUAGCCGACCUGAGAGGGUGAUCGGCCACACUGGAACUGAGACACGGUCCAGACUCCUACGGGAGGCAGCAGUAGGGAAUCUUCCGCAAUGGGCGAAAGCCUGACGGAGCAACGCCGCGUGAGUGAUGAAGGUCUUCGGAUCGUAAAACUCUGUUAUUAGGGAAGAACAUAUGUGUAAGUAACUGUGCACAUCUUGACGGUACCUAAUCAGAAAGCCACGGCUAACUACGUG
RNAcentral lists this ribosomal RNA (497 nucleotides) under uncultured bacterium. RNAcentral describes it as "partial 16S ribosomal RNA". It matches the Rfam family "Bacterial small subunit ribosomal RNA", at positions 28 to 507 of the family's 1533-position model. The record is from RNAcentral.